RNAcentral lists this ribosomal RNA (482 nucleotides) under uncultured bacterium. Its description in RNAcentral is "partial 16S ribosomal RNA". It matches the Rfam family "Bacterial small subunit ribosomal RNA", at positions 30 to 507 of the family's 1533-position model. The record is from RNAcentral.
AUUGAACGCUGGCGGCAUGCCUUACACAUGCAAGUCGAACGGUAACAGGUCUUCGGAUGCUGACGAGUGGCGAACGGGUGAGUAAUACAUCGGAACGUGCCCGAUCGUGGGGGGUAACGAGGCGAAAGCUUUGCUAAUACCGCAGACGAUCUACGUAUGAAAGCGGGGGAUCUUCGGACCUCGCGCGGACGGAGCGGCCGAUGGCAGAUUAGGUAGUUGGUGGGAUAAAAGCUUACCAAGCCGACGAUCUGUAGCUGGUCUGAGAGGAUGAUCAGCCACACUGGGACUGAGACACGGCCCAGACUCCUACGGGAGGCAGCAGUGGGGAAUUUUGGACAAAGGGCGAAAGCCUGAUCCAGCCAUGCCGCGUGCAGGAUGAAGGCCUUCGGGUUGUAAACUGCUUUUGUACGGAACGAAAAGCCUCUUUCUAAUAAAGAGGGGUCAUGACGGUACCGUAAGAAUAAGCACCGGCUAACUACGUG